RNAcentral lists this ribosomal RNA (422 nucleotides) under uncultured bacterium. RNAcentral's name for it is "bacterial SSU rRNA". It matches the Rfam family "Bacterial small subunit ribosomal RNA", at positions 354 to 774 of the family's 1533-position model. The record is from RNAcentral.
GUAAGGAAUAUUGGUCAAUGGACGCAAGUCUGAACCAGCCAUGCCGCGUGAAGGAUGAAGGUCCUCUGGAUUGUAAACUUCUUUUAUAUGGGACGAAAACGGGAUUUUUAUCUCAAUUGACGGUACCAGAGGAAUAAGCACCGGCUAACUCCGUGCCAGCGGCCGCGGUAAUACGGAGGGUGCGAGCGUUAUCCGGAUUUACUGGGUUUAAAGGGUGCGUAGGUGGGCUUAUAAGUCAGUGGUGAAAUCUCCGAGCUUAACUUGGAAACUGCCGUUGAUACUAUAGGUCUUGAGUUAUCUGGAGGUAAGCGGAAUAUGUCAUGUAGCGGUGAAAUGCUUAGAUAUGACACAGAACACCAAUUGCGAAGGCAGCUUACUACAUAUAAAUUGACGCUGAGGCACGAAAGCGUGGGGAUCAAACA